UACAGAGAUUGUGAGCCGAUGCAUGUGUUGCUUUAGGCCACUGAGUCUGGGCUUAUGGAUUAUUCUACAGUAGAAAAUAUCAAUUCAUCACUUUUAUGUCUUUCUUUUUUUUGUUUGUUUGUUUGUUUUUCUUCCAGUACCAAGAAUCGAACUCAUGACCUUGCACUUGCCAGGUAGGCGCUUUGCUGCUGAGCUAAAUCCCUAGCCCUACUUUUAUGUCUUUCUAUACUGUCAGCCUCCUGAAUCACUGAAUUCGCAAUACUUGGACUCAACUCACCACAAAUAGAAAUUUUUCACUGCAUCCAUACUGAAUACGUACAGACUUUUUCUUCUCAUUAUUCCCUAAUGGUACAGCUGACAACGAGUGACAUAGCACUGACAUCACCUUAGGUUUGUGACUUCAUCUGGCGGCAACUGGAUGUGUACAGGAGCGUGUGCAUAGGUUCUGUACAAGUACAGCGCCACUUUACAUAACAGGGUCUUCAGAACCCAUGGAUUUUGGUAUCCUUAAGGGAACCUAGAAUCCAUUCCCAGCUGGUACUGGGGACCACUGCAUUUGUCUUUCUCCUACUUCACUUACUCUGAGUCUUGCCUCUGGUGGACGUGAAAUAAAAAGUAAGCCAAUCACAUGAGACUAAUUUGAUUAGUCUAAAAGGGAAGAGUCCUCUGUAUGUUUGAAGGGGGAGGUAAAAUUUUACAAUAAAAUUUGGGCAUGUGAGGCACUGUGUCUUAAAAACAAAGCAUCUAGGUGGCUGCCUAAUCUUACAAGGAACUCCUGCGGGGGGCUUGACGCCUCCGCAUCCCCCGGCACCUGGCUCCUCGGCCAGGAACGCAGGGAUGGGACUCCAGGAGGCAGCAGCACCCAGAACCCAAUCAGCAAGAUAAAUGAUGUUCUCUAAUUACCAUGAAACCUACACAAUACAGGAUAUGCUGCCUGAACCAUCGCGGAGUGUGCGGAAACGGCCAUUCCAGGAAUCUGAGGGAACAAACUGAACUGGGCCUUCGUUCUGAGGUGGUGGGGAAGGAGCAGUACCACACCCAUAGCACCGAGGACCCCAGCCCCACAAGGGCCUGUGCCUCAGAGGUGGGAACCAGGCCCUUAGCCACUGCAAUCCAGCCUCCUUCCCAGUGUGCGUGGGAAAGCAGAAAUGCCAGGGAAAAGCUCCUGCUCAGGGCCAGGCAAGAAGAAGCAGGCAAUGCCUGGCUUUGUCAUCCGAUGUAACAAAAAGCCUUAGUGUGUACCUGGUAACACACUAAGGUACAACAGUGUGGGAACGUGACAACAGUGUGGGUUUGUGUGGGAGCUCCCUAAAAAGCCAGGUCAUUAGGACUCCAGUUACCCCCUAAACGGCCACCGCGUCUCCAGGUCUAAGCAGUGACUCCAGAGGCCGAGGGGGGUCACUUGUGUUCAUUGCUUGCCAACACCAGCAAUCUGUUCGUCGUUGUCCAUCCAGAUAGUAAACGUAAUCAUCCAUCAACCCUUGCUGCUCAUGUGCAAACCCUAAGCCAGCACCCAUCCGAGGAGCAGGGCUGGGCUCGGGCCACAGAAUGAGCCCAGCCUAAGAUGGGGGGACGUUCUGUGGUCAAGCCACCAGAUCUGUAGUCAUAUUUCCUUGUCAGAGUUAAAAAUAAAGCCCUGUUCCCUCA
RNAcentral lists this long non-coding RNA (1647 nucleotides) under Chinchilla lanigera (long-tailed chinchilla). RNAcentral's name for it is "lncRNA (ENSCLAG00000028698.1)". Lineage: Eukaryota; Metazoa; Chordata; Mammalia; Rodentia; Chinchillidae. The record is from RNAcentral.